GUGUCAGCCGCCGCGGUAAUACGUAGGGAGCAAGCGUUGUCCGGAUUUAUUGGGCGUAAAGAGCUCGUAGGCGGCUUGGUAAGUCGGAUGUUAAAUCUCCAGGCUCAACCUGGAGUCGCCAUCCGAUACUGCCAUGGCUAGAGUCCGGUAGGGGCCCACGGAACUCCUGGUGUAGCGGUGAAAUGCGCAGAUAUCAGGAAGAACACCGGUGGCGAAGGCGGUGGGCUGGGCCGGUACUGACGCUGAGGAGCGAAAGCGUGGGGAGCGAACAGGAUUAGAAACCCCCGUAGUCC
This 293-nucleotide ribosomal RNA is filed under the name uncultured Acidimicrobiales bacterium. RNAcentral describes it as "partial 16S ribosomal RNA". It matches the Rfam family "Bacterial small subunit ribosomal RNA", at positions 505 to 796 of the family's 1533-position model. Lineage: Bacteria; Bacillati; Actinomycetota; Acidimicrobiia; Acidimicrobiales. The record is from RNAcentral.